CUUCCUCACCCCGCACCCUUUUCUUCCCAUGUCUGCCUUAGUCUUCUUCCCACCCUCUUCUCCUCUCCCCAUCGCCUUCUUCCCACCCUCUUCUCCUCUCCCAAUCGUCGUCUUUCCCAGCCUCUUCUCCAUUUUCUUGCCGCCUCCAUAUCCCCACCUUCUCGCAGCAGCGUCUUCCUGCCGCGCUUUUCUCUCCCCUCACCAUCUUCUCUUCCUCUUCCCCACCGUCCUCUCCCCACGCCCUCUUCUCCUCACUGUCUUCUCCCCGCGCCUUCCCCACAACCGUUUUGUCCCCCGUUUUCUUCCCCUCACACCGUUUUCUUCCCAUGUCCUCCCACCGUCUCGCAGCAGCGUCUGUCAGUCGCAAUCUUCUUCCCACUUUCUUCUCUCCCCCUCCCAUCGUCUUUUUUCCCCAGCCUCUUAUUCUCCGCCAUCUUCUUCCCCUCCCCACCUUCUCGCAGCAGCGACUUCCUGCCGCGUUUUUCUCUCCCCGCACCCUCUUCUCCCCUCUUCCACUCCCCACCGUCUUCGCCCCCGAUCGUCUUCUUGCCCACCCCCUUCUCGCGCUCUCCAACUGCCUUUCACCUAGAAGCGCUCCACGCGUGCGCCCGCCUGUGUCCCUGCGCCUGGUGUGUCUGUGCGCCCAGCCAGCCCCAUGAGCUGGGCCCCUGAGCUCCGCCCCAACAGCCAACAGGAGACCCAGGAGAGUCGCUGCCAGGGCCAUCACGGCUGCCGCCGCCCCCGCCCCCGCCGCUACCUCAGAACUGAACAGUGUUGGCUGCGGGCGAAAGACAGAAGGUCGUGGGAACAUACAGAGACCUACAGGGAAGACGGCCAUGGGACAAGGGAGGCAGAGUCUGGAGUUACGCUGCCUACAGUCACGGAAUGCCAAGGACAGCUGGAAACCACCAGAAGCUAAGAAGGAGAUUUUACCUGAAAGCCUCUCAAAGAAAUCAAUCAUACUCACACCUCCUUUUUGAAUUUCUGGCCUCGUGAAUGGUGAAAAAAUAAAUUUCUGUCGUCUUAAGCCCCACGGUUUGUAGUCAUUUGUUCUGUUCCUAGCCUUAGGAAACUAACACAGCAUGCUAAGGGAAAAGAAGAGAAUUCUGCAUAAAAUGUCAUUUUACUUUUUAAAACAACUACUGUUGACAGUAAAUGAGUAUUCUUCCAAGAUUCAUAUGCAGAACAUAUAUGCAGCCCGGAACAUUUUUUGGGACCCAUGGCAUAAGUGAUUAUGAUAGAUAAAAUCCAAAUAUUAACCUGCCAAAAGAGUUAUUUUUUCUUUUGCAGUCAUUUAAAGGUAAUAAGCAGAGGUCAUGAGCCCUGUAAAAAUUAAUCUAUUCAUUUGUUGUCACUUGAUACUUACGAUCCGUUGACAUAUUUAGGUUUUAAUUCUUUGUACAGAUUAUGGUUCGUCUUGCACUGUAAUUUUAUUGCACAACAAAUUUUUUAUUUAUCAUAUAUCUAAGUUGUUUCUUAAACGUGAGUAACAUUGCACUUGAAAAUACUCAGAAGACUUCUGUCGACGUUCUCGUAACAGCUUCUUCUAGUUAAUAAAAACCUAAUCCCAUUUUCCUAUUAUGUAUAGAUUACAAGUAAAAUCGGCAUUUAAAAAGUAAAAUCUGUUCGACAAUUUCUAUUGCUAUUGUAGGUAGUAUAACAUAAAAUGUGUCUUAUUUUUCCCUCACUCAUUGACAAUUUAAGUAAAUUUUUUAAACCAAGAAGCUCUUUUCACAUACCAGGCCCAGUGAUUGGAAUUGAGUAUUCAGUAUUGAACAGAGCAAACAAGUUUCUUAUCAUUAAGCUCAUAUUCUAUGUUAUAAACAUUUUUCCAGUGAAAUUACUGGAAUGUUUU
RNAcentral lists this long non-coding RNA (1855 nucleotides) under Homo sapiens (human). Its description in RNAcentral is "HSALNT0388965". The record is from RNAcentral. Lineage: Eukaryota; Metazoa; Chordata; Mammalia; Primates; Hominidae.